This 768-nucleotide ribosomal RNA is filed under the name uncultured Pseudomonas sp. RNAcentral's name for it is "bacterial SSU rRNA". It matches the Rfam family "Bacterial small subunit ribosomal RNA", at positions 58 to 821 of the family's 1533-position model. Lineage: Bacteria; Pseudomonadati; Pseudomonadota; Gammaproteobacteria; Pseudomonadales; Pseudomonadaceae. The record is from RNAcentral.
CAAGUCGAGCGGAUGAAGGGAGCUUGCUCCCUGAUUCAGCGGCGGACGGGUGAGUAAUGCCUAGGAAUCUGCCUGGUAGUGGGGGACAACGUCUCGAAAGGGACGCUAAUACCGCAUACGUCCUACGGGAGAAAGUGGGGGAUCUUCGGACCUCACGCUAUCAGAUGAGCCUAGGUCGGAUUAGCUAGUUGGUGAGGUAAUGGCUCACCAAGGCGACGAUCCGUAACUGGUCUGAGAGGAUGAUCAGUCACACUGGAACUGAGACACGGUCCAGACUCCUACGGGAGGCAGCAGUGGGGAAUAUUGGACAAUGGGCGAAAGCCUGAUCCAGCCAUGCCGCGUGUGUGAAGAAGGUCUUCGGAUUGUAAAGCACUUUAAGUUGGGAGGAAGGGUUGCUGAUUAAUACUCUGCAAUUUUGACGUUACCGACAGAAUAAGCACCGGCUAACUCUGUGCCAGCAGCCGCGGUAAUACAGAGGGUGCAAGCGUUAAUCGGAAUUACUGGGCGUAAAGCGCGCGUAGGUGGUUUGUUAAGUUGAAUGUGAAAUCCCCGGGCUCAACCUGGGAGCUGCAUCCAAAACUGGCAAGCUAGAGUAGGGCAGAGGGUGGUGGAAUUUCCUGUGUAGCGGUGAAAUGCGUAGAUAUAGGAAGGAACACCAGUGGCGAAGGCGACCACCUGGGCUCAUACUGACACUGAGGUGCGAAAGCGUGGGGAGCAAACAGGAUUAGAUACCCUGGUAGUCCACGCCGUAAACGAUGUCAACUAGCC